This 380-nucleotide long non-coding RNA is filed under the name Ananas comosus (pineapple). RNAcentral's name for it is "long non-coding RNA (ACOM_LNC028551)". Lineage: Eukaryota; Viridiplantae; Streptophyta; Magnoliopsida; Poales; Bromeliaceae. The record is from RNAcentral.
AAACUUACAUUGUUAGAUAAGAGUAUUUUUAUAUUUUAAAAUUUGAUACUAAUUAAAUAAAAUAAUUAUUUUAAAAAAAUUUAAUAAAAAUAAUAUUUUUAUAUUUUUAUAUUCAAAAUGGCCAUAAAUGGAGGCAACAACACUUUCCAUCUCUCUCCACCCACCGUAUUCUCUUCCCUCUCACUACCUCUAUCUUAUCUCCCGAAAUUACCAUCCUACUUUAAAAUUCUAAAACUAAAUAGGCAUUCAUAAUUGCUUUAUCUAUGUAGCUUGGUUUUAUAUACUUAGUAAAUAAAGCAGAUAGGGUGUUAUCUCUCUAUAGCUCUCUCUCUCUCUCUCUCUCUCUCUCUCUCUCUCUCUCUCUCUCUCUCUCUCUCUCU